RNAcentral lists this ribosomal RNA (422 nucleotides) under Rhinella marina group sp. ABGD cluster 38. RNAcentral describes it as "partial large subunit ribosomal RNA". It matches the Rfam family "Bacterial large subunit ribosomal RNA", at positions 1835 to 2457 of the family's 2925-position model. Lineage: Eukaryota; Metazoa; Chordata; Amphibia; Anura; Bufonidae. The record is from RNAcentral.
CUUGACUCUUAUAAGAGGUCCAGCCUGCCCAGUGACCAUGUUCAACGGCCGCGGUAUCCUAACCGUGCGAAGGUAGCGUAAUCACUUGUUCUUUAAAUGUGGACUAGUAUGAAUGGCACCACGAAGGUUAUACUGUCUCCUUUUUCUAAUCAGUGAAACUAAUCUCCCCGUGAAGAAGCGAGGAUACACCUAUAAGACGAGAAGACCCUAUGGAGCUUUAAACAACACAGCAAUUACCUGCUAAACUAAGAAGUUUCUGAACAUUUUAAUCUUUUAAGUAAUCUGACUGCAAGUUUUUGGUUGGGGUGACCACGGAGCAUAACACAACCUCCAUGUUGAAAGAAUUCUUUCUAAGCCAAGAACAACCUUUCUAAGCAUCAAUAUAUUGACAUCCAUUGACCCAAUACAUUUGACCAACGAAC